Molecule: ribosomal RNA, 261 nt
Filed under: uncultured Sphingobium sp.
Lineage: Bacteria; Pseudomonadati; Pseudomonadota; Alphaproteobacteria; Sphingomonadales; Sphingobiaceae
Description: partial 16S ribosomal RNA
Rfam family: Bacterial small subunit ribosomal RNA
Source: RNAcentral
GGGAACAACAGCUGGAAACGGCUGCUAAUACCCCAUAGGCUGAGGAGCAAAAGGAGGAAUCCGCCCAAGGAGGGGCUCGCGUCUGAUUAGUUAGUUGGUGAGGCAAUGGCUUACCAAGGCGACGAUCAGUAGCUGGUCCGAGAGGAUGAUCAGCCACACUGGGACUGAGACACGGCCCAGACUCCUACGGGAGGCAGCAGUGGGGAAUUUUCCGCAAUGGGCGAAAGCCUGACGGAGCAAUGCCGCGUGAAGGCAGAAGGC